GACGAACUCUGGCGGCGCGCCUAACACAUGCAAGUCGAACGAGCGAGAGAGAGCUUGCUUUCUCGAGCGAGUGGCGAACGGGUGAGUAACGCGUGAGGAACCUGCCUCAAAGAGGGGGACAACAGUUGGAAACGACUGCUAAUACCGCAUACGCCCACGGUGCCGCAUGGCACAGAGGGAAAAGGAGCAAUCCGCUUUGAGAUGGCCUCGCGUCCGAUUAGCUAGUUGGUGAGGUAACGGCCCACCAAGGCGACGAUCGGUAGCCGGACUGAGAGGUUGAACGGCCACAUUGGGACUGAGACACGGCCCAGACUCCUACGGGAGGCAGCAGUGGGGAAUAUUGCACAAUGGGGGGAACCCUGAUGCAGCGACGCCGCGUGGAGGAAGAAGGUCUUCGGAUUGUAAACUCCUGUUGUUGGGGAAGAUAAUGACGGUACCCAACAAGGAAGUGACGGCUAACUACGUGCCAGCAGCCGCGGUAAAACGUAGGUCACAAGCGUUGUCCGGAAUUACUGGGUGUAAAGGGAGCGCAGGCGGGAAGACAAGUUGGAAGUGAAAUCUAUGGGCUCAACCCAUAAACUGCUUUCAAAACUGUUUUUCUUGAGUAGUGCAGAGGUAGGCGGAAUUCCCGGUGUAGCGGUGGAAUGCGUAGAUAUCGGGAGGAACACCAGUGGCGAAGGCGGCCUACUGGGCACCAACUGACGCUGAGGCUCGAAAGUGUGGGUAGCAAACAGGAUUAGAUACCCUGGUAGUCCACACCGUAAACGAUGAUUACUAGGUGUUGGAGGAUUGACCCCUUCAGUGCCGCAGUUAACACAAUAAGUAAUCCACCUGGGGAGUACGACCGCAAGGUUGAAACUCAAAGGAAUUGACGGGGGCCCGCACAAGCAGUGGAGUAUGUGGUUUAAUUCGACGCAACGCGAAGAACCUUACCAAGUCUUGACAUCCCUUGACAGACAUAGAAAUAUGUAAUCUCUUCGGAGCAAGGAGACAGGUGGUGCAUGGUUGUCGUCAGCUCGUGUCGUGAGAUGUUGGGUUAAGUCCCGCAACGAGCGCAACCCUUAUGGUCAGUUACUACGCAAGAGGACUCUGGCCAGACUGCCGUUGACAAAACGGAGGAAGGUGGGGAUGACGUCAAAUCAUCAUGCCCUUUAUGACUUGGGCUACACACGUACUACAAUGGCGUUAAACAAAGAGAAGCAAGACCGCGAGGUGGAGCAAAACUCAGAAACAACGUCCCAGUUCGGACUGCAGGCUGCAACUCGCCUGCACGAAGUCGGAAUUGCUAGUAAUCGUGGAUCAGCAUGCCACGGUGAAUACGUUCCCGGGCCUUGUACA
RNAcentral lists this ribosomal RNA (1338 nucleotides) under uncultured bacterium. Its description in RNAcentral is "bacterial SSU rRNA". It matches the Rfam family "Bacterial small subunit ribosomal RNA", at positions 28 to 1387 of the family's 1533-position model. The record is from RNAcentral.